AAUUGAUCAGUAAUGAUCCAGGAGAUCUAUUAGGAGGAUUUAACAGGGACCCAAUGAAUUUUCAAUGUGCAACCAAAAUUAGAACUCAGGCUCUUGGUUUAAAUAUAGUGCAUGUAUGUGUUUGCUUUAAGGGAGCAGCUGUGGAAAGACAGAAGAUGAAAGCUCCCAUUCCAAAUUUGAUUCUCUUGUAUGCUACUCUAACUCAGAGCUUGAAGGUUGUGACCAAAAGAGGAUCAGGCACAUAAUAAACAUAUUUUGAGAGAACUUUUGAAGAUAAAAGGUUGAACAUUCUUUAGCUGGGCGUUUUCUACAGUGCAAUUACACUUUUGGCAGUGCAUGGGAGCUGUGGGAUGUCCUCCAUGCUCCGCUUCUGAGGCUCUCAAAACUUUUUAGAUUUGCCAUAUGGUGAUAUUUUGACUUGAGUUAAAUUAGGUAAUGUAACUGAGCUUGUUUAAUUUAUGUACCCUUUUUCAUGAAAGAUGCAUUACUUCACUUGUGAAGAUUGUAAUGAGCUAUUUUUAUUAUAGUUUUUUGAAGUAAUAAGCUAUGAGUACUACUGAGGUGUCCAAGAAAGGGCAAAAUGAAUAAACAUUUUUUUUUGUGAAGAAGUACA
This is a long non-coding RNA of Anser brachyrhynchus (Pink-footed goose), 613 nucleotides long. NCBI's taxonomy places the organism in Eukaryota, Metazoa, Chordata, Aves, Anseriformes, Anatidae. The record is from Ensembl.